Suricata suricatta (meerkat) is the source of this 485-nucleotide long non-coding RNA. RefSeq lists it as uncharacterized. Lineage: Eukaryota; Metazoa; Chordata; Mammalia; Carnivora; Herpestidae. The transcript has 4 exons. The record is from RefSeq and is a predicted model, not a curated record.
CACUCCUCUCCCACUGCUACCUCCCCCCGCCGCCCCAGCACACUAGGCCCUUCUGCCUGGAGUUGGGGACAGGACCCAGAAACAUCAUGGUUCACACAGUAUGGCUGAGACUCCGAGAGGAGAAGGGACAUGGUCAAGAUCACGGGGAUGCCGGAUGAGAACCCAGGUACAGGUCACAUGCAUCCGGGGGACAGUGGUCCCAGGCGUGCCAUUGGAUUCCCAGAAUGCCCUGCUCCAGUUAUAACUAGCUUGCUCAGCAACACUGGAGUCCGAAAAGACAGUGCGCAUGCUCGGCGUGCAGUAUUGAGCUUAAACAGGGUGCCUGAGAAGCUCUUCCAGGAACCUGGUUUCCUGGACCUGAGAAGCACCAACGUCAGAGGUCCCACGUGAGUGAGGAAGCAGGUGGCCUGAGGCUUGGCCUCUGAGAAGCGGGCGGAGGCUCCGGGGCCACUGUUGUGGACAGGCUGGUGAGGGUAUUGGGACGC